CUGAACUGUGUGAAUAAAAAUAUUGCAUGCAAUUCUGAACCCUGACUUGAAAAUAGGACACAUCUUCAAAGACAGUAAGGAAAAGAAAUAUAGAGUGAGAAGAGAGAAAGACUGGAAGAGGAUAGGUUCUUCUUAAGCCAUGACCCGGAAACAGGACAGCAUGCACUCCAACGUGGCUGGCUGGAACUCAAACUCAGCCACACCCAACUCCAAACAAAUCUGGGAAAGAGGUUCUAGCUGAGAAGAAAAGAAAGCAUGAAUUCUAAUUAACAGCUUGCAUUCUCUGCUACAGCUUAAGUUUCUCAGUGCUUAGAAGCACUGAUCAGGAAUUGGAUCCAUGGUGCUACCCAGAUCCCUCAGAAGGCAUAUCCCUGCCUGGUGGAUUUUCGAUUGGAAUAAAAUAAGAUGACAUGAAUGUACAGAGACGAUGGAUGGCUUGAGCUGAUGGGCAGCAUUUGGAAUUGGGUUUUGUUUUCUUCAAGAACUGUGGUGUCAUUUUUCUUCGUCUUUCCCUGUCUCUGCUGAUUCUGUCUAGGGGAUGUCUUUUAAUGUGAAAAAUUGAGUAAUAGCUUCAUAAGAAGUCCUGAGAAAACAACUCCUGGAUUCCAACUUAUCUUCAGUGCACAUAACCUUCUCCCACAGAGUGAAGGGCUUAUUUUUAUUCAAUUAAGCCUCAAUUAUGUUCCAAGAAAUCAGUCUCCAGACUAAAUGUGAGCAAGUAGCAGGUAAUAAACAAACAAGACACAUCAUGCUUUUGCCUUGGGCUUCUUUGAAUCACUUAUGUCUGCUUUAAAGAGUUUUGGUGAGGUAAGUUUUAAAUUUUCAGAAUGUUCACUUAAGCUAUAAAUCAGAGGCUUCCAGUAUCUUUUUGCUAGGACUGGAAAUGAGACAUGAGUGAGGUUAUGGCGUGCACACACAUACCAUCCAAGGGCUAAAGGAAACUAAGACCAACAAAAAUAAUUCUUAAAACCCAAUAAAAUUCACAUGUUAAAAUAAUUAUUUUGCAGACAUUAAAUGGUAGUAUGCAUAAAGUAAAAUUACAAAAUAAACACUAAAACACCAAGCUCCUUCUCACUCUCUUGCCACCACACUUCUUUUCUGACACAGUGACCAAGGCAUAAUCUCCAAGUAUCUUCAUUCAAAUGGGGCUAGCUGGUGCAA
This 1161-nucleotide long non-coding RNA is filed under the name Homo sapiens (human). RNAcentral's name for it is "HSALNT0329168". The record is from RNAcentral. Lineage: Eukaryota; Metazoa; Chordata; Mammalia; Primates; Hominidae.